Tarenaya hassleriana is the source of this 560-nucleotide long non-coding RNA. RefSeq lists it as uncharacterized. Lineage: Eukaryota; Viridiplantae; Streptophyta; Magnoliopsida; Brassicales; Cleomaceae. The transcript has 2 exons. The record is from RefSeq and is a predicted model, not a curated record.
AGUACUGAACAUGGAAAGUGCCGUACAACUAUGGAAUCCUAAAUCUUCUCUGAGUCCCGGUCAACAUCACCCGCGAAUGGAGGAUUUGCAGAAGUUCUGCAGCAUGAUAGCCGGAGAUGCGAUCUUUCCUCUUUAUCUUCUUCUUCAUCUCCACUACCCGAAUCUGCAGUUAAUCUGAUCCAGAAACACACGAGGCACCAGAAAUUUGAUGUCGUACGAUGGAUCUCGCGCUCUAGCCGCCAGAUCUUCGAGGGCAAGAAGAAGAAUCAAGAGGUGUUCUUUAUUUUCGGUGGAUGAAUUAGGACAUAUGCCUUGAAUUCCCAAUGGCACACUCUUUGGAUGAGGGAAUUGGUCAUAGAUUUUUGGGGUUUUUUUUUUCAGAAAUCACCCAUUUGGGUCGCAUUGAUUUUGUUGUUCUCGUCUUUCAAUCAACAUACCUUCUUGUUUUUGGAUGUUUUUGUUAUCAAAAUAGAUCUAUCGUCUCUCCUGAAAGCCAUAAGUGUAUGUAUUAUUUGUAUAAUGAUUUAUCUCGUUCUUUUCAUGCCCUUUGGCAAACUAUA